AUACGGAGGGUGCAAGCGUUACUCGGAAUCAUUGGGUUUAAAGGGUCCGUAGGCGGGAAUCUAAGUCAGUGGUGAAAUCUUGCAGCUCAACUGUAAAAUUGCCAUUGAUACUGGAUUUCUUGAAUUAGUGUGAAGUGGUUAGAAUGUGUAGUGUAGCGGUGAAAUGCAUAGAUAUUACACAGAAUACCAAUUGCGAAGGCAGAUCACUAACACUAUAUUGACGCUAAGGGACGAAAGCGUGGGGAGCGAACAGGAUUAGAUACCCUAGUAGUCC
Molecule: ribosomal RNA, 274 nt
Filed under: uncultured bacterium
Lineage: Bacteria
Description: partial 16S ribosomal RNA
Rfam family: Bacterial small subunit ribosomal RNA
Source: RNAcentral